CCUUGAUAUUGGCCCCCUUUAAAUCUUUUGUCUCAUUUCCUUCUAAUAACACCCACCUCUGGGAGAAGACAUUAUCAGUGUUUAUGGAUUAAAAGGAAAACAAAAUGCCUGAUUUUUGAGAGCUUAACUAGCUGGCCGAGUAAACCUAAGAGGUUUAAUGCAUGCAUGAAUUAAGUUCUGCAAGCCUUCAAGGAAGCUUUCAAACCAAUGAACUCUAAAUGGUGUGGAAAGGAAAAUGCACACUUUGUAUUUAGGCCACCCACAAAUAUGCAUUAGUGAGGAAGCAUCGUAUAGCUGUGGGAUGCAAACUUUUUCUGAAAUCCUUUCGGCUUUGCAAUUCAUACCAUCUGCACUGCAACUUCUCAACUCAUGCUGUAGCAUGAAAACACCACAGACAACGUUUAAAUGGAUGGAUAUGUUUGUGUUCCAAUGAAACUUGAUGUUUGCACUCUGUCAUUUGAGUUUCAUGUAAUUUUUAUGUGUCAAGAAAUAGUCUCCUUUUGUAUUUAAAAAAUCAUUAAAAAUAUAAAAUCAUUCUUAUCUUACAGACCAUACAAAAACAGAAGGCAGGCUGGAUUUAGUCUAGGAGUGGUCACUUGCAAACCCUGUUGUAUACUAAUAGUGGAGAGACUAUGAGUUUGAGGGUAUUUAGACUUGAUUUUCUAUCUUGAUUCUGUUGCUAUUAAGUAAAUUAACUUAUGCAUGGCUUCACCACUCCCCAGGGCCUUAGUGUUCUCUUCUAUAAAAUAAGGUUAUGAUACUUAUCUCAGAGGGCUAUUGAUAGGAUUACAUGAGGAUUACAUUUAUUUC
This 810-nucleotide long non-coding RNA is filed under the name Vulpes vulpes (red fox). RNAcentral describes it as "lncRNA (ENSVVUG00000006319.1)". Lineage: Eukaryota; Metazoa; Chordata; Mammalia; Carnivora; Canidae. The record is from RNAcentral.